Molecule: non-coding RNA, 278 nt
Organism: Cinara cedri
Lineage: Eukaryota; Metazoa; Arthropoda; Insecta; Hemiptera; Aphididae
Source: the annotation of a GenBank genome assembly
GGGAAGGUAGGAUAUAAAUGGGAAUUUAAUGUUUAUUUCGUACGCAACGAUUAAUUUUUGCUAACAAAAAGUUCUUCUGUGGAGUUCGGUAUUACACGUUUUAAAAGUUAAUAUUUUGGAGAAAAAUUGCUAGUAGAUUAGUUAUUUACAAAAAAAAAAUUAAAAAAUUAAACAUCAUUGCAAAACUAAUACGUUUCAAUAUUCUAUAACUUAUAUCUUCUUAUACUAAUCAAAUUUAAUUUGAUGAAAAAAAAAAUGGGCAAUAACGAAAUCUGUGC